UUGACUUCGGAACAGGUAG
This 19-nucleotide ribosomal RNA is filed under the name Xanthoria parietina. Its description in RNAcentral is "partial 28S ribosomal RNA". The record is from RNAcentral. Lineage: Eukaryota; Fungi; Ascomycota; Lecanoromycetes; Teloschistales; Teloschistaceae.